AGUGAACGCUGGCGGUAGGCCUAACACAUGCAAGUCGAACGGCAGCACAGUAAGAGCUUUCUCUUACGGGUGGCGAGUGGCGGACGGGUGAGGAAUACAUCGGUAUCUACUUUUUCGUGGGGGGGAACGUAGGGCAACUAACGCCAAUACAGCAUACGACCUACGGGUGAAAGCAGGGGAUCUUCGGACCUUGCGUGAAUGAAUGACCCGAUGUCGGAUUAGCUAGUUGGCGGGGUAAAGGCCCACCAAGGCGACGAUCCGUAGCUGGUCUGAGAGGAUGUACAGCCACAGUGGGACUGAGAGACGAUCCAGAGUCCGACGGGAGGCAGAGGUGGGGAAUAUUGGACGAUGGGCGCAAGACUGCUCCAGGCGUGCCGCGUGGGUGAAGAAGGGCUUCGGGUUGUAUGACGCUUUUGUUGGGGAAGAAAAGUAGCAGGUGAGUCCCCCGCUGUUCUGACGGUACCCGAAGAAUAAGCACCGGCUAACUUCGUG
Molecule: ribosomal RNA, 492 nt
Filed under: uncultured bacterium
Lineage: Bacteria
Description: partial 16S ribosomal RNA
Rfam family: Bacterial small subunit ribosomal RNA
Source: RNAcentral